This 16-nucleotide transfer RNA is filed under the name Proctoporus cf. bolivianus Ca3. RNAcentral's name for it is "partial tRNA-Leu". Lineage: Eukaryota; Metazoa; Chordata; Lepidosauria; Squamata; Gymnophthalmidae. The record is from RNAcentral.
CUUUUAAAGGAAACGA